UGAGCGUAAGCGCAGCGCAGGCGGUUUGCUUAAGUCAUGAUGUGAAAUCCCCCGGCUCAACCGGGGAGCUGUCAUUGGAUACUGGGAGACUUGAGUCUCGUAGAGGGGGGUAGAAUUCCAUGUGUAGCGGUGAAAUGCGUAGAUAUCUGGAGGAAUACCGGUGGCGAAGGCGGCUCUCUGGUCUGUAACUGACGCUCAGGUGCGAAAGCGUGGGGAGCAAACAGGAUUAGAUACCC
Molecule: ribosomal RNA, 236 nt
Filed under: Enterococcus saigonensis
Lineage: Bacteria; Bacillati; Bacillota; Bacilli; Lactobacillales; Enterococcaceae
Description: partial 16S ribosomal RNA
Rfam family: Bacterial small subunit ribosomal RNA
Source: RNAcentral